GAUUUUGCAGAAAUAUAUAGUUGGAUGAAAAAAUUGCAAAUCUAGGCCUUAUCGCCGACACCACAGACGCGUGUCCUUACUGCCGCUUGGGCCGACGCUAAGGCCCUGGGCCAGCGAUAAGGACCUCGCCUCCUGCACCGCUGCGGUACGACUAGCGCGUGGGCGGUAAGGGUCCUGAUGCCGCCUGGGCCGGCAAUAAGACCCCUUACCGCCGCCUGGGCCGG
Molecule: long non-coding RNA, 224 nt
Filed under: Setaria italica (foxtail millet)
Lineage: Eukaryota; Viridiplantae; Streptophyta; Magnoliopsida; Poales; Poaceae
Description: long non-coding RNA (SITA_LNC002983)
Source: RNAcentral